This 2572-nucleotide long non-coding RNA is filed under the name Falco tinnunculus (common kestrel). RNAcentral describes it as "lncRNA (ENSFTIG00000005450.1)". Lineage: Eukaryota; Metazoa; Chordata; Aves; Falconiformes; Falconidae. The record is from RNAcentral.
AUCUGGUUCUUUUCAUCCUCACUGCCUCUUCGCCUUUACCUUUCUAAAAUGUCUCCUGCUGCAAAACUCAGUUGAAGCCAAUUGCCAGGUCCAGCCUUGCAGCCCUGCUGCAGCCUCCUGAAGCCGGGAGCGGCCAAGGCUCCCAGCCGUCAGCAGAGGAGACUUCUGGUCAGUGCCUUCCUUUUAGACCUAUCACUGACUAAUGUUUUGAAGACUGGAUUGUUAUUUUAAAAAUAAUAUAUACAUGGCAAGGAGCAGAAUGGUAUUAUUGUCUGCCAUGUAACACAAGUAUACCUUCCUGGGAGGAGGGAAAGCUGAUCGGUUUGUGCGCAUUUCAGCUUUAUGUCGGCACGGACUACCCAGCUAACAGGAGUUGUUUUAAUCUGAUCUGUUUUAUCUGUGGUACACAAAGUAACAGAUGUGUAAGUCUAAUACAGUAAAUUGCUGUAAGUAUUAUGACACUGUGGAAAUAUUUCAUAGCAGCACUAGAAAAAAAAAAACAUUUAAUUUUCUGAUUUCUUGCGGAAUAUGGAAUGGAAAAUAUGUUGAUUUAACUCUAAAAAAAUGCACAGUCGAUUUAAGGGGGAAAAAAUAGUAAGUAAGAAAGAAACCCUUUACCAUAUCUAAUUUCAUUAGUAAACUGUAAAUGGAAAAUGAUGAAGAGGUAAGAUUUCAAAGGGCUGGUAACCCACACAUUUUAUGUAGCAUUAAUCAUGUGCUCUUAAUUUUUCUGCAGCAGAACUCUGCAGCACUGUGUUCCUGCUCUGUGAUUCACGGGGCGGUGGGCGAUGGUGAGCAGCAGAGCCUGGCUGGGACCCCCCCGGCAGUGACAUGGGGGAUGCCGCGCAGCCAGCCCCAUCCACAGGAUGAGAUUUAUGGCCACGUGCCGGAGGUUUCGUGCCUCUGCUCAGAAGUGACAUUUGCGGCACGCUUCUGGGCAGUGUUGCUUCUCCAGCGUUGACCCCAGCUGAGGCAAGGGACAUACACAGGUGCACAGGGAUGAGAGCAUUCACUUGAGCAAACUCCCAUGUAAGUUUCAGAAACUUGCUUGCUCAAAGGAGUUAUAAUGCCCUGCUUGGGGUUUUUUGGGGUGUGUGGGUGUGGGGGGAUUAUGUUUGUUCACUGAAUGAAAUGGCAAACUUUGGUUUACAGAACUCUGUAAGGUGCAAGGAGCGCCAGUGCUGGUUUGCCUCUCAUCACUGCCAGUUGGAUAUUGAUACAUUUAAAAGCUAUAAGUACACUUUUUAACCAGUGCUUUUUAAAGAUCUUUUGAAGGUCUUUUCCAGCUGCUCUGCUGGUACCUUGUCUUAGCACAAACCACACACCAAGCACACAAGUCCAUCAGGGCUAUUAAGCAUAAAGAUGCAGACACAGCUUCUGCCUGCGGCGGCCGAGAGGCACACACUGCUGGGGACGGGGAGGCCAUGCCAUGCCAUUGUCCUGCUCUCACUCCCUUUCCACGAGCAUCCCCUAUGGCCACUGCACAAUCAAGGUGCAACCACCAAGGAACCUGGCUGCGAUGCUGGUUUAGUUGAUCUUCAAGAAAGAAAAUGCUCCUUCUGCACAGAGUCAGGUCUCAGUUGUACCAACACAUAAGCACACAGACUCAGUCUGAGGUCAAGGAAUUGGCGCUGGUAUAACAGAAAUGUGAUUUUAAGAAACUUGCUCCCAAUUACCCCUUUCCUUCCCCUUUCAGGGUAUCAUUUCCAGCAGAAAAAUACCAUGUAGCAUCCAUCUUUGUCCACAUAAUUGCGGGGUGUCUGUCAGCACGGUGUAAUCAUGUGUAUGCAUAUGACAUAGAAGCAAUUAGUUUACAGUAUCCAAACGAAAUAGCCAAAGAGAGAUUUUCCUGCUGUAUUAUGUGACUAUCUUGUAUAAUUUCUAUUAUGUAAGUUAUGGGAAUAAAAGCAAGAUUAAAAAAAUAUCAACUAGAAUACAGUUAGCACCAAUUCUGGAGAGACUGGAAGGAGCAGAUACCCCACUGCCUUGCCACUUUCCUACUUAUUAGCCUUAUCAAAACGUUUUCCCCCAGGUAAUCAUAAUUUCAGGACAAAUUAUAAACUGUGAUACUUUACAUCUGCAAAGGAAAUGGAGCUUUGUGAACGCCUCCCUGUGCUGAUCCUCCCUCCAGGUCGUGCCCAGGUGCCAUUGGUGCCCGGGGCAGCGGCUGGUGGGGCCAGACCACAACUCCUGGAGAUGUCCAGAGAUGGCAUGGGAAUGGGAGAACAGCAGUUGAUGAGCUGCCUACUUGUGAAGAGGUGGUUUUAUGCCUAUCAGGAGCACACAGUGUGUUAGAUUCAGUUGUCUUAAGCCUGGUGCAGGCUCUCCUCUGCUUUAAAGUGCAGAAGGUAAAGCACUUUAAGAAAGUUUUUCUUUGGUAUGUCAUUCGUGGUUUCUCUUAGGGGCUCUAAGGUAGAGAGAUGAACUUCAAGAGGUCUGAGGCUUGGAGCAGCCCUGCAAAGCCUUGGGUGAAGGCAAACAUUGCCUUCUCCUCAGAGAUUACUGGUUUGGGACAGCUACAGGCACUGGCAGUUGCUGGGUGUCAGUCUGCACCCCUGGGGCAGGGUUUCCA